UACGUAGGGUGCGAGCGUUAAUCGGAAUUACUGGGCGUAAAGCGUGCGCAGGCGGUUUUGUAAGCCAGAUGUGAAAUCCCCGGGCUUAACCUGGGAAUGGCAUUUGGGACUGCAAGGCUCGAGUGCGGCAGAGGAGACUGGAAUUCCUGGUGUAGCAGUGGAAUGCGUAGAUAUCAGGAGGAACACCGAUGGCGAAGGCAGGUCUCUGGGCUGACACUGACGCUCAUGCACGAAAGCGUGGGGAGCAAACAGG
This 253-nucleotide ribosomal RNA is filed under the name uncultured bacterium. RNAcentral describes it as "partial 16S ribosomal RNA". It matches the Rfam family "Bacterial small subunit ribosomal RNA", at positions 524 to 776 of the family's 1533-position model. The record is from RNAcentral.